Molecule: ribosomal RNA, 252 nt
Filed under: uncultured bacterium
Lineage: Bacteria
Description: partial 16S ribosomal RNA
Rfam family: Bacterial small subunit ribosomal RNA
Source: RNAcentral
UACGUAGGGUGCAAGCGUUGUCCGGAAUUAUUGGGCGUAAAGAGCUCGUAGGCGGUCUGUCGCGUCGGCUGUGAAAACCCGGAGCUCAACUCCGGGCCUGCAGUCGAUACGGGCAGACUGGAGUUCGGCAGGGGAGACUGGAAUUCCUGGUGUAGCGGUGAAAUGCGCAGAUAUCAGAGGAACACCGGUGGCGAAGGCGGGUCUCUGGGCCGAUACUGACGCUGAGGAGCGAAAGCGUGGGGAGCGAACAGG